GAUGAACGCUGGCGGCGUGCUUGACACAUGCAAGUCGAACGGUGAAGGCGGAGCUUGCUCUGCUGGAUUAGUGGCGAACGGGUGAGUAACACGUGAGCAAUCUGCCCCUGACUCUGGGAUAAGCGCUGGAAACGGCGUCUAAUACUGGAUACGAGCUGCGAAGGCAUCUUCAGCAGCUGGAAAGAACUUCGGUCAGGGAUGAGCUCGCGGCCUAUCAGCUUGUUGGUGAGGUAACGGCUCACCAAGGCGUCGACGGGUAGCCGGCCUGAGAGGGUGACCGGCCACACUGGGACUGAGACACGGCCCAGACUCCUACGGGAGGCAGCAGUGGGGAAUAUUGCACAAUGGGCGAAAGCCUGAUGCAGCAACGCCGCGUGAGGGACGACGGCCUUCGGGUUGUAAACCUCUUUUAGCAGGGAAGAAGCGAAAGUGACGGUACCUGCAGAAAAAGCGCCGGCUAACUACGUG
RNAcentral lists this ribosomal RNA (468 nucleotides) under uncultured bacterium. Its description in RNAcentral is "partial 16S ribosomal RNA". It matches the Rfam family "Bacterial small subunit ribosomal RNA", at positions 28 to 507 of the family's 1533-position model. The record is from RNAcentral.